Molecule: long non-coding RNA, 3287 nt
Organism: Carassius gibelio (silver crucian carp)
Lineage: Eukaryota; Metazoa; Chordata; Actinopteri; Cypriniformes; Cyprinidae
Exons: 2
Source: RefSeq, a predicted model, not a curated record
CUGAAUCAAAGCAACCUUGUACUCAUGCAGUCAUAUCAUCCAGUCUCUUUAUGAUUAGUCUCCUAGGCUUUCAGUAUGUCUGCACAUCUGUUACAGGUAAUCAUAUGCAUUGAACACGUGAUUUCUUGUCGUGGAAAGAAUGUAAAAAAUGCUGUUUAUGUGUUUUGAAUGUCUUUCUCUCCUCUCUUCCAGAGGGGUCACCUCAACUUCUCGCCCUUCGGGGCAGGGGCGGCGCUGUAGGCUGGGGGCUGAAUGAGCCCUCGGGCCUGUGUAGGGAUGGGGUUCUCCAGAGGUCACGUGUAUGUGGGGAUCAGUGGGCCACUCUGCAGGACUUAUUGUGCUGGCGGAGGAGUGUUUGUGAUGGCCGACCAGACUGGCAGAACGCUUGGCUCCACACAAAAACCUCACCCACCCUAACAGUGAAGCCCAAGAGUCCCAGAAAGAAAUCAUCGCCCUAGAGAUCGUGGUCUCCCUGAAGCCUCAGUUAAACCCCACUCCCUAGGCCGGAUGGCACUUUUUAAGUUCUGCCCUUCACAUAGGGGUGGCGUCCUCUAAACAGAACCAGACUCUGGACUCCCAGUUUGUUAUUGUUUCUUUCUUCACUUCUUUGAAGGAAAGGUUCCUUGGAAAAUUGUUCCACGCCAUCUCUCUAACUAAUGGCCAACUGGGACCAAAUUACAUGAAGUCCCCAAAGACUACCAAGCCCAACUUUGAAAACAUAAACUCAUCUUUGGGCAGACAAAAGGUGGAAGGCUAUUUUGAAUACCAUUUGCAGUGUCCCAAACAUCACACCAUUUGGAAAAUUGCAAUUUUUGGUUGCUUUGAUUACAACUCAUCAACGCUAUCUGAGGGCUGUGCAAAAAUCUCAACUGUGUGCUGUAGUCUACAUUGUGGGCCGUAUUUUAGUUUUAAACCCUGGUGCUGGUCGCUCCACGUGUGGUUGUUGUUGACCCGGUUGGGUUAAAAGUGCCAAUUCUGUUCCAACUCGAAACACUCGAGACACAUGGAUGCGACAGACCUUAAAGUUUACAAGACUUGUGUUGACCUCCUAGGUCUAGCUUUGUGAACAAAGUCCUCCUUCAGGUUCAGAGAAGCAGCUACACCUUACGCUUUUUCAGGUGCUUUGGUUACCCUCCAUCAGAGGUGGCAGCCAUCACACAGGUUUUGACCUUACGAAGAGGUCAGAGUUCAGGGAAAUCACCAGUAACAUCACAGGUCCACAACAUUUCCACCAGCUUCUAAACUACAUUCAUUGAUCACCCUAGGCCAAUGAGUACGUCUUGCGAAACCAAAAGUUUCUCUUGACAAACUUGAAGACGCCUGGUUUAUAUCAAAUGGUUAAAAAGCACAAUUUUCCAAAUACACCUUUAGAUGAAACAAUCAUUACUAGGGAUGGAUAUUACUGCCGAUGCGACUCUGAAAGCUCCCGUAACCGUUUUUGGACUUUUCCUCAAAGGUGCUUAUGCACGAAUGCUGGGUUGUAUGGAUAUAUGUCACUACCUUAGCAGACAACCUGUACAAACAGCACAUGACCGUUGGUCUCCCUGAAGCUUCAAACUAUUCAUCUCUCUAGUCAUUCCUAAUUUGUGAAGGUGCACCGAUGCCUCCAAACAGAGGCCUCGUGGCAUUUGGUUCAUCCAUACAGUGUGCACAUGCAGACCUUGAACACUGGGUUUUCAGCAGGAGACAAACCAUAAGCAAACCCGUGUACUUGAAGUACAGACACUUUUCUGAGAAUAAGCAGAACUUGACCUUCUGGUUCUGAUUGAAUUCAGUAUGACUGAAUAGAUGGAUUAUGUACAGACUGCGGCAUAUUAUUGUCUUCAUAAUGGAAAGUUAUUUCUGAAUGUUCAAGGAUGCAAUGACAGAAAGCCUAAGGUGGUGGGUUUUAUAGUGUGAAUAUCGUUUCACUACAGAAUGAUUGUUUAUUCAUGGGGAACUCUUUAGCCGUUGUCCGUCUUCGCAGGACUUCGGUCAGUCUUCAAAAUGUAUAAAGAUAUUUAAUGUAUUGUACAGAACAUUUGUGUUUGUGCAAGUAUGUUUAAGUUGCACUUUGCCACUGUGUUUCAUUUAGGCUUCAUUGAGAGCAUCACUUCAUGCCUGUGUGCUUAUCCUUAAGGUGGCAUCCUGAAAAAGUUCCCCCGAAUGUUAGACGUUCAAAAAAGAGCCAGUUCAGCCCCUUUCUGACACAAUGAUCCAUGUCAACCUCUCUGGUCUCAAUAUUUAAAUGUGCAUACAUUAAAUCUGGAAAAAUGGUGACUUAAAAUGUAUGAUUUGUAUAACCAGUUGUAACUAAUGAUUGUAUUGAAACGGUAAUUUAUUUUCAGUGUGAAACACUAUUUAACAUUUAUUCAAAUUAGAUUAUUUUAAGCCCCAGUUUUGUGAGUAGUACUUUCUGGCUUUAUUAAUCAUUACAGACAGCUCAAAAAAUGGGCUGCUAUAAAGCUUUUGAAUCGCGUAUCUUCUUCUGUCUCUAUAUGUCCCACCUAAUGUGAAUAGUCCCUUUCCCCAUUCCAUUGGACGGUGGUUUAAAAGCAUCUUUCACUGCUGUGCAGUCUUGCAGACGCAUAUUAAAAUCAAUGACCGGAACUCACUUCAUGGGUUUGAUCCACAGCUGCUUUACAUCGCUACUGCUUAACAGGGUUAUAAUUAUUUGAAACAUUUAUUUAUUGAAGAAAAAAAACAACAACUCUAUUUUAUAAUGUCUAGUAUUGUCUUGCCAUCAAUACUAUAAAGCAAAAAGAGAAUGAAAAGAACUGUACAGUAUGAACCCAUUUUUCUACUUUGUUGUUGAAAAGGCAACGUAUGUUAACGCAUGUGAUCUCUUAUGUACACGGCCCGUCUGUCUGUUUUUCUGUGCUUAGUCUGAUAUGUUGUGGAGAUAUAGACAUCAUUGGAUCAUGCCCUUUGUCUAAACUGGAGCUGUGGAACCAUCCAUCCUGUUAUAUAAACCCUCACCCUCCAACCCAAAAUGGCUUCAAAUGAAUGGAGAUCUUGUUUUGAUGGCAAAAUAAUGGGCAGAAAUUGUUUGGCAAAGAUCUGUAUGUAGGGGACAUCUGCCAGUGUUGUAGUCGAGACCAGUUCAUUCAAGAGAAUAGGGUCGAGCUGGAGUCCAAAACCAUAUUUUCUUGUCUAAGACUCGACUCUCUUCUGGUCAGAGUUGACUGAUUGCUUCUUUACUAACAACACUGACAUCUCCAUCUCAAGACACCAGAAAUAACUCAUUCGGAUUCAUGUGCUUGCUCAAAUAUGCAGAGAUCAUCUAAAUAUUAAAUUAAUGCUUUUUU